This 252-nucleotide ribosomal RNA is filed under the name uncultured bacterium. RNAcentral's name for it is "partial 16S ribosomal RNA". It matches the Rfam family "Bacterial small subunit ribosomal RNA", at positions 524 to 776 of the family's 1533-position model. The record is from RNAcentral.
UACGGAGGAUGCGAGCGUUAUCCGGAUUUAUUGGGUUUAAAGGGUGCGUAGGCGGAUCGUUAAGUCAGUGGUCAAAUUGAGGGGCUCAACCCCUUCCCGCCAUUGAAACUGGCGAUCUUGAGUGGAAGAGAAGUAUGCGGAAAGCGUGGUGUAGCGGUGAAAUGCAUAGAUAUCACGCAGAACCCCGAUUGCGAAGGCAGCAUGCCGGCUUCCUACUGACGCUGAAGCACGAAAGCGUGGGGAUCGAACAGG